RNAcentral lists this ribosomal RNA (433 nucleotides) under uncultured bacterium. Its description in RNAcentral is "partial 16S ribosomal RNA". It matches the Rfam family "Bacterial small subunit ribosomal RNA", at positions 29 to 507 of the family's 1533-position model. The record is from RNAcentral.
AACGAACGCUGGCGGCAUGCCUAACACAUGCAAGUCGAACGAGACCUUCGGGUCUAGUGGCGCACGGGUGCGUAACGCGUGGGAACCUGCCCUUAGGUUCGGAAUAACUCCCCGAAAGGGGUGCUAAUACCGGAUAAUGUCUUCGGACCAAAGAUUUAUCGCCUUUGGAUGGGCCCGCGUUGGAUUAGCUAGUUGGUAGGGUAAAAGCCUACCAAGGCGACGAUCCAUAGCUGGUCUGAGAGGAUGAUCAGCCACACUGGAACUGAGACACGGCCCAGACUCCUACGGGAGGCAGCAGUGGGGAAUAUUGGACAAUGGGCGAAAGCCUGAUCCAGCAAUGCCGCGUGAGUGAUGAAGGCCUUAGGGUUGUAAAGCUCUUUUACCCGGGAUGAUAAUGACAUUACCGGGAGAAUAAGCUCCGGCUAACUCCGUG